GAGACAGCAGCCGCCGCGGGAAUACGAAGGGUGCAAGCGUUACUCGGAAUUACUGGGCGUAAAGCGUGCGUAGGUGGUGGUUUAAGUCCGUUGUGAAAGCCCUGGGCUCAACCUGGGAAUUGCAGUGGAUACUGGAUCACUAGAGUGUGGUAGAGGAUAGUGGAAUUUCCGGUGUAGCAGUGAAAUGCGUAGAGAUCGGAAGGAACAUCUGUGGCGAAGGCGACUAUCUGGGCCAACACUGACACUGAGGCACGAAAGCGUGGGGAGCAAACAGGAUUAGAUACCCGGGUAGUCCCUGUCUCUUAUAA
RNAcentral lists this ribosomal RNA (308 nucleotides) under uncultured bacterium. RNAcentral's name for it is "partial 16S ribosomal RNA". It matches the Rfam family "Bacterial small subunit ribosomal RNA", at positions 505 to 809 of the family's 1533-position model. The record is from RNAcentral.